UUCUUCUCAAAACUAAUUUUUGGGAAACAAGUUUUUCUUUCUUCCUUUACUUGCUAUUCCACUAUUUUCUUCCCCUUGUUCUACUGAUUUUCAAGACGGUGCGAGGAAGAAUUUUUGUUUCAAAGCACAUCAACUUACGAGAUUGAUUAAAUACUAGGCUUGAUUCAAGAGUACGAAAGGAGGUUGCAACAGUAAGCCAGACAGAGCUUAAGGCAGGCAGGCCUCUAGCGCGUCAAAAAUGCCUCCGAGGGUCCUUAAGCUAAAAGGUGUUGCUGCAGCGAGAAAUGGUAAAGCCAAAAAUCUUGCUGUUGCAAAAAUGAUGAAAGCAAGUUGUGAGCAAUUUGCAGAAUCCGUACGAAGCAUCGCUGGUGUUAUUGGGAACCAGAACCAGUCGCGGCCCAAUAAUGUUAUGGACUUGAAAGAAUUCAGGUAAGUGGUUGGUGAGAGAGCGUUUCAUGGUACUGAAGAACCCGUAGAAUCUGAAAAGUGGUUGAAGGGUAUCAAGAAGGAGUUUGAUGCACAUUUAGUGGUUGAGGAGGAUAGAGUAUGUUUUGCUACAUAUAUGUUUCAGCAUAAUGCAGAUGAUUGGUGGGAAUCUGAAAAGAGAAUGGGAGACGAAACAAGUAUGUCAUGGGCGCAGUUCGAAAAGUUGUUUCUUGACAAGUAUUUCCCCCCCACUAUCCGAUCCCUGAAGUGUGCUGAGUUUGCUACCUUGAAGCAGGGGACCAUGACAGUUACUCAGUUAGACAAGAAAUUUAAUGAACUCCAACGUUAUGGAAAACAUCUUGUCGAGACCUCGGAAUUGAAAGCUCGCAAACUAGAAGAUGCAUUGAAGCCAGGAAUCCGCGCCCAAGUUGUUCCUCUACAACACCCAAUUUAUAAGAAGGUUUUGGGAGCCGCAUUAGCUAUUGAAGCUAACUGGAUAAAAGCACAAGAACAAAGAUAACUGGGAAGAAGGUCAGCCGAGUAAGAAGAAGAAUAACAACGAUUCGUCCCCUCAACGGAAACGUCCACGUUUUGAUCCUUCUCGUUCUGGGCAUACCACCGACAAGAACAAAGGAAAAGGUUGCUUUCGAUGUGGAGAUGAUCAUCUUAUCAAAGAUUGUCCCAUUCCACCACCGCCGAUGCCACAAAACGUGAAUCAACCUCAACAGCCAAAUGUACAGAAAUCAAAUUUUUAUGCGAGACAACCUUGCCAGCCACGUACCAAUGCGCCACCCUUCCAACAGAGACAACUGAACGUUCAAGGAAAGCUAAAUCAUGUGGCAGAGGUUAAGGGCGAAGCAGAAAAUGCCAUUAUAGAGGAGUACGAAAGGAGCUUGCAACAGUAAGCCAGACAGAGCUUACGGCAGGCAGGCCUCUAGCGCGUCAAAAGUUAGUAUUUUGUUGUUCAUAGUAUGUAUAUCACGGGGAUGGGUCUGGGGUAGUUCUAGUAUCGGCUUCGACCCAUUUUUUGUCGUAUUUUGACGUGUAAAUAAAGGGAAAUGCUGAAGUCUUAUUUUGUUGUAUGAUAAGCUGCCUUCUGAAUUUGGAUCUAGAUAUAUACAUUACUGUCUGUAACUAUUUCUAUUUAUGAAUUUCUCUUGCAUGUUCAA
Molecule: long non-coding RNA, 1595 nt
Organism: Papaver somniferum (opium poppy)
Lineage: Eukaryota; Viridiplantae; Streptophyta; Magnoliopsida; Ranunculales; Papaveraceae
Exons: 4
Source: RefSeq, a predicted model, not a curated record